UACGGGGGGGGUAAGCGUUGUUCGGAAUUACUGGGCGUAAAGGGCUCGUAGGCGGCCAACUAAGUCGGACGUGAAAUCCCUCAGCUUAACUGGGGAACUGCGUCCGAUACUGGAUGGCUUGGAUUUGGGAGAGGGAUGCGGAAUUCCAGGUGUAGCGGUGAAAUGCGUAGAUAUCAGGAGGAACACCGGUGGCGAAGGCGGCUUCCUGGACAAUUACUGACGCUGAGACGCGAAAGCGUGGGGAGCAAACAGG
This 253-nucleotide ribosomal RNA is filed under the name uncultured bacterium. Its description in RNAcentral is "partial 16S ribosomal RNA". It matches the Rfam family "Bacterial small subunit ribosomal RNA", at positions 524 to 776 of the family's 1533-position model. The record is from RNAcentral.